RNAcentral lists this ribosomal RNA (274 nucleotides) under uncultured bacterium. Its description in RNAcentral is "partial 16S ribosomal RNA". It matches the Rfam family "Bacterial small subunit ribosomal RNA", at positions 523 to 796 of the family's 1533-position model. The record is from RNAcentral.
AUACGGAGGAGGCAAGCGUUGUUCGGAAUCACUGGGCUUAAAGCGCGUGUAGGCGGCCUCGCAAGUAUCUUGUGAAAGCCCUCGGCUCAACCGAGGAAUGGCUUGGUAUACUGCGGGGCUUGAGGCAGGUAGGGGUGCCUGGAACUCUAGGUGGAGCGGCGAAAUGCGUAGAGAUCUAGAGGAACGCCUGUGGCGAAAGCGGGGCACUGGGCCUGACAUGACGCUGAGGCGCGAAAGCGUGGGGAGCAAACAGGAUUAGAAACCCCAGUAGUCC